AUGGAGUCAAACACACUCCUCCUAUGCAUGCUGCUGUUUGGUGUUCCAGGUUCCACAGGGGACAUUGUGCUGACCCAGUCUCCAGCUUCUUUGGCUGUGUCACUAGGGCAGAGGGCCACCAUCUCCUGCAAAGCCAGCCAGAGCGUCACUUUAUUUGGCUUUACUUAUAUGCACUGGUACCAACAGAAGCCAGGACAGCCCCCCAAACUUCUCAUCUAUGGAGCAUCCAAUACACAAUCUGGGGUCCCUGCCAGGUUCAGUGGCAGUGGGUCUGAGACAGACUUCACCUUCACCAUCAAUCCUGUGGAGGCUGAUGAUGCUGCAAUCUAUCACUGUCAGCAGACUAGGGAUGUUCCUCCCACAGUGCUCCAGGGCUAA
Onychomys torridus (southern grasshopper mouse) is the source of this 378-nucleotide non-coding RNA. Lineage: Eukaryota; Metazoa; Chordata; Mammalia; Rodentia; Cricetidae. The record is from the annotation of a RefSeq genome assembly.